GCAGGGGUACCCAAGCGGUCAACGGGGCUGGGUUUAGGGCCCAGUGGCUUAGCGUCUUCGUCGGUUCGAAUCCGGCCCCCUGCA
Molecule: transfer RNA, 84 nt
Filed under: Nanobdellota archaeon
Lineage: Archaea; Nanobdellati; Nanobdellota
Description: tRNA-Leu
Rfam family: tRNA
About the family: Transfer RNA (tRNA) molecules are approximately 80 nucleotides in length. Their secondary structure includes four short double-helical elements and three loops (D, anti-codon, and T loops).
Source: RNAcentral